Molecule: long non-coding RNA, 1472 nt
Filed under: Pogona vitticeps (central bearded dragon)
Lineage: Eukaryota; Metazoa; Chordata; Lepidosauria; Squamata; Agamidae
Description: lncRNA (ENSPVIG00000019365.1)
Source: RNAcentral
UUCAUUUGUUUAUUUAUUGGAAUGUUUAGUUAUUGAAAUAAAAUCCACAUAUAACCAAAACAGCGCUACCUGUACCUGUGCAAUUCAAAGUAAAGGUGUAUAGCUUUUAUUUAAUGUCCACAACCAUACAUUUACAAGGGGGGGGUAGAGAAUCAGACAGACCUCCUACAUACAUGUACAGUAACUUCACGAGGUGGUCUAUUCCCUCAGACCAUUGGGAGCAUGGCUUUCUAUACCUUUUCAGUACCUUUAUAUCCUUUUGAGAUUAGAUGAGCAGCCAAUACUUGACCCAGUGUUCUAAGGAUGAUAGUGAUCAUCCUUAGAUGCCCCUCUUUCUCACCAAGCAGCUAAAUGUUUGGCUGCUAUAUUUAUCAAGCUACUAUGUUCAAGUGCUGCUUGGCAAAGAGACUGCAUGCAGUGGACAUAGAAAAUGCUUCACAACCUAUUUUACACAACUCCUUUGCAAGGCAUAACAGGCACUAGAAGGAGCUGGCUAUGAGUAAUGAAACACAGAGUGUAACAACUACAGCAUAGCUGAGUCACCUGAUGACGGUGACAUAAAGGCUGAAAUCCGGUAGUAAGUCACAACUGGAGUUGAAUCAAUGGAACUUACAGAAAACUCAGCAAAUCCCCACCAAUUUAAUGGGCCUACUCUAGCUGCAAUUUACUACAUGACUGAAAGCAGUGAGAUUCCUAUCUCCAUCUGUAGUUUGUAUUUGCUUUUGUAGUUAACAGCAGGGGUGGCUACGGUACUUAAGUGAGUUCUAUAGCACAAGCCCCUGGCUUGUAUAAUUCUAAAAAGAUAGAAUAAGCAGGCAUGAAACCAAAUGAAACAAAAAUAACUUUUGGUACAUUUGACGGUCAUGGGUACUGUUUUUCAUUUCGUUUUCCUUAAAAGGGGCGUAAAUUUUAAGAAUAUGAAGGAUAACCUGUUCAGUCUCCGCAAGGAGAUUUUUAAGACCUCGGAGUGAGUCAAAUGCUUUCUUGUCUCAGGUUUUCUCCAGUUUGCAUAAAAUAUCUCUAUGUUUGCAAAAGUGAAGUCUUUUCCCUUUGAGAAGCAAAAAAAAUAUAUGCGUACACAAAACAGGCAAGCACAGAAGGAAUGACUGGCGGAUUUAUCAAAAAGUUGCAAACAUACCACUCUUGAGUUUCUCAUUUAUAAAAGUUUGUGCAACAAGAAAACAGUGAUCAUAGUUGUACACCGUUCUGCAUUUCAUAAAUGCAAAAAUUCAGUUUACUCCAUCAGAAAAUGCCUUGCCCUCUUAAAAGGUUAAGGGGGGUGGAGAUAGGCAGUUUCUCAGACUUGUGUGUUGAUGAGACAGGCAAGGAAUUAACUUCCCUAAUAUUUUUAGAAGUUCUAUAGCAGGAAAACACCAACAGUAAUGCUUCUUUGCUCUCCAGCCUUCUAUCCAUUCAUCCAGCAUGUUUUAUAUUUAAAUAAAGAGCUUAAUUAUUAUUUUUUUGCGUAAAUG